Molecule: ribosomal RNA, 301 nt
Filed under: uncultured bacterium
Lineage: Bacteria
Description: partial 16S ribosomal RNA
Rfam family: Bacterial small subunit ribosomal RNA
Source: RNAcentral
CAGCAGCCGCGGGAAUACGUAGGGUGCGAGCGUUAAUCGGAAUUACUGGGCGUAAAGCGUGCGCAGGCGGUUAUAUAAGACAGAUGUGAAAUCCCCGGGCUCAACCUGGGACCUGCAAUUGUGACUGUAUAGCUAGAGUACGGUAGAGGGGGAUGGAAUUCCGCGCGUAGCAGUGAAAUGCGUAGAUAUGCGGAGGAACACCGAUGGCGAAGGCAAUCCCCUGGACCUGUACUGACGCUCAUGCACGAAAGCGUGGGGAGCAAACAGGAUUAGAUACCCGAGUAGUCCCUGUCUCUUAUAC